GGAUGCAUGGCUCAAGUGGAAAAGAGUACUUGCCUAGCAAGCAUGAGGCCCUGAGUUCAAUCCCCAGUACUGCCA
RNAcentral lists this transfer RNA (75 nucleotides) under Dipodomys ordii (Ord's kangaroo rat). It matches the Rfam family "tRNA". From Rfam's summary of the family: Transfer RNA (tRNA) molecules are approximately 80 nucleotides in length. Their secondary structure includes four short double-helical elements and three loops (D, anti-codon, and T loops). Lineage: Eukaryota; Metazoa; Chordata; Mammalia; Rodentia; Heteromyidae. The record is from Rfam by way of RNAcentral.